Molecule: long non-coding RNA, 1542 nt
Filed under: Felis catus (domestic cat)
Lineage: Eukaryota; Metazoa; Chordata; Mammalia; Carnivora; Felidae
Description: lncRNA (ENSFCAG00000045644.2)
Source: RNAcentral
AGUGGACUAGCCCUGCCAGGUGUUUGGCCUCCGUCUGGUCUGUGCUUCAGGCCCCCUCUCAUUGCUCACGGUUCUUAUCCUCCUCCAUUGGACAAGCCCCCACCACUUCCAAGGCACAAGCUGCCUUCUUCUUCUCUAAUGAAUGAUAGCACGUACCGUAUCCAUUUAUGCCCAUCAAGGGCAUAACUCACAUCCUGGCUGCUGCUGAAAGGGAAUUGGCAAAUAAAAGAAACACCUGGUGGCCAGAUCCCCCCUUGCUCGGGUGUUCUGUCUCUGACCCAGCUGGGAGGCGGGCACUAGGUGGUUGCUGGGUGAGUGGACAGAUCCCUGCAUAGAGAGGAAGUCCAAGUCUGCCCCAGGAACUCAGGCUGUCUCCCCCUGAUCCCCAAUUGCCAGACUAUCUUCACAAGCAGUGUGGUCUCAUUUAAGGAGAAAAAAUGAAUCCUCCUGGGUAAGAAGUUGGGAGGACUGUGUGUUAUUAAUUCCUUGGCCACUGGCUAGCAGUGUUAGCCAGGUAAAUUAUUUCCCACAUUUUUGUUUCAUUUUUCUCCAGUUUCUGCUCUAUUCCAUCCCCGCUCAUCUGUGAAAAAUGGUGGCAGCAAACACUUCCUUAUGAGAAUGUGGUGAAAAUGGAUUAUGUGGUUGGUGCAUUUGGAAUCCCGAAAAGGAAAUGGGCUGCAAAUCCAGAUCUCAUCACAGGGAGACCAGAGAGACAGAUUCGCUGGGAUACUCGGCAGGCAACUUAAUUUACCAUUCUCAACACUCUGUUCCUGCCCCUUUCCUCUACUCUUCACCAGGAAUGCCUUUGCCCCUUUUGGGUAUGAUUUUUAGACUCUGAUUUAAAACCUUGGUUUAACCCCAGUGACUUUUACUCAGCCAGCUCCAUAGCCAUUCUGUUUAGAGUUGAGUCUAUCUGGUUGCCACAUCUUUGAUUUUACUGGUCGGCUCUAUGUAUUAGGAGUACCACAGUAGAGAGGACAUCUCCCACCUCCACCCACCCCUAAACAGAGGGGGCCAUCCAUGAGACGUGGCCUGGGGCAAAUUCUAUAGGAGCCAUGAUAUCUGCUGAUACGGAACCCUUAGGCUUCUAGCCAUCAAAGCCAUUGCAAGAUUUUUAGUUUCCAAAGACUUCACAGAGAAGAGUUGCAACACCAAGACCCCAUACUGGAUUUUACCGAUUUUGAUGAGUAUCUAAAACUAUAGCCCAUUCAGAUAUUGGAUCUAAACCCACUUAGAAUGUUGGCCAAGUGAGCUGACUUGUAUACUCAACUUAAUACAUAUAUAAUAAGGUUGCAUGAAAAUAAGUAAUUGAUGUUCUGUUUUGAUCUGUUUUGAUCAUUCAUUCAACAAAUAUGUACAGGGUUCCUACCAUGUUUAAUGACCUGGGGCAGAUUAAAAACAUCAUGCAAUGUGGCAGGUGCCCUGGAGAAGGGUUUGUAAGAUGGGCACUUCUGGAAUGACUUUGAAGGCACCAUAACGUAAUGGAUAUGAAAACAUUUUCUUAACUGUGAAGCAUUGCACAAGAUACAUCUCUUAUUUGUC